RNAcentral lists this ribosomal RNA (460 nucleotides) under uncultured bacterium. RNAcentral's name for it is "partial 16S ribosomal RNA". It matches the Rfam family "Bacterial small subunit ribosomal RNA", at positions 338 to 795 of the family's 1533-position model. The record is from RNAcentral.
CCUACGGGUGGCAGCAGUGAGGAAUAUUGGUCAAUGGGCGCGAGCCUGAACCAGCCAAGCCGCGUGAUGGAUGACUGCCCUACGGGUUGUAAACUUCUUUUGUCAAGGAAUAAAGUGAGGCACGUGUCCCUUUUUGUAUGUACUUUAUGAAUAAGGAUCGGCUAACUCCGUGCCAGCAGCCGCGGUAAUACGGAGGAUCCGAGCGUUAUCCGGAUUUAUUGGGUUUAAGGGGAGCGUAGGUGGGUUGUUAAGUCAGUGGUGAAAGGUUGGGGCUAAACCGUAAAAUUGCAAUUGAUACUGGCAGUCUUGAGUACAGGUGAGGUAGGCGGAAUGCGUGGUGUAGCGGUGAAAUGCUUAGAUAUCACGAAGAACUCCGAUUGCGAAGGCAGCUUACUAAACUGCCACUGACACUGAGGCUCGAAAGUGUGGGUAUCGAACAGGAUUAGAUACCCCUGUAGUC